UGAGGCGGUUGUCCACCGUACGGGAGAUAAUGAUGGGUUAGAGAUGGAAGUGAGCUACGCACCCAUUUCAAGAGUGAAAACUCAAAGAAAUACAAGUCCUCUGCCACCUGAUGAAAUAUAGUAAAGAGAGCCAGAUCAAAGCUGGGAGGGAAAAAAGCACAGUGUGUUAUGGGCUUACUGUGAACAUUUCACCACCUGGUGUAGAAAUGGAGAAUCAUCGAGUGCACAGGCUAAUUGGCUUUGGUAUAUUCUUGGGGCAUUUGUGUCCAUCACUGGCGUUGAGAUUGCUGUGUUCUUUGCCGUUAUGGGACGAAAGAAAAAAUCGAAAACAUACGCCUAGAGAAACUGGUAGUGUAAUUUGAGGAAAGUGAGAGACAUUUCAGUAGUUUGAUUUUUCAAAAAUUAUACUUAUAUUGACAACUCUGUGGUGUAAUUAGGGCACUCAAAUACCGGAUAUCUAGCUUGAUAACCCUUUCAAUGAAAAUAAAAAGGCACUGUUGUUGGGAAUAUAAAUACAGUUUAAGUUUCACUUAACUGUAACAAAAUAUGGGGAGGGGAACUGAGUCAAGGAUCGUAAUUCUUUAUAUCGUCCUCAGACAUGGUAUAACUUGGUGAUAAAGAAAAAAAUUAUGAAUUUCCAGGAAAUGUGCAUGAUAUUACCAGCCAUUGAUGCAAUAUCACAUUUUGGAUGUGUUCUAUUUAUAUUAAUUGUUUAAUGCAUUAUUAUUAUUAUUAUUAUUAAUUGCAUUAUUAUUAUUGUUAUAAUUAUUCACUUCUGCAUGUUAUAUUUUAGACUCUACAAAACUGAGUGAAUAAGAAUGCAAUAUUUAUUGUCUUGUCUUUGUUUUUGUAUUUUACCUGCUGCAAAUCAGUAUUUAUU
Lingula anatina is the source of this 880-nucleotide long non-coding RNA. Lineage: Eukaryota; Metazoa; Brachiopoda; Lingulata; Lingulida; Lingulidae. The record is from RefSeq and is a predicted model, not a curated record.